GCACAACGCGAAGAACCUUACCACCUUUUGACAUGCCUGGACCGCCACAGAGAUGUGGCUUUCCCUUCGGGGACUGGGACACAGGUGCUGCAUGGCUGUCGUCAGCUCGUGCCGUGAGAUGUUGGGUUAAGCCCCGCAACGAGCGCAACCCUCGCUGUUAGUUGCCACCAUUCAGUUAGGCACUCUAACAGGACUGCCGGAGUUAAUCCGGAGGAAGGCGGGGAUGACGUCAAGUCCUCAUGGCCCUUACAAGGUGGGCUACACACGUGCUACAAUGGCGACUACAGAGGGUUGCAAUCCCGCGAGGGGGAGCCAAUCCCUAAAAGUCGUCUCAGUUCGGAUUGUUCUCUGCAACUCGAGAGCAUGAAGUUGGAAUCGCUAGUAAUCGCGGAUCAGCAUGCCGCGGUGAAUACGUU
Molecule: ribosomal RNA, 416 nt
Filed under: uncultured bacterium
Lineage: Bacteria
Description: bacterial SSU rRNA
Rfam family: Bacterial small subunit ribosomal RNA
Source: RNAcentral